UCACUAUAAUCCAACUCAAUAUGGAGAAGCGUUUAUCAAUUAUCAGUUUAUCACAAAGAGUGCUAAUUUAACUUUAAUGGAUCCAUUAUAGUUAAAUUUAAAUCAGACAUCAUCAAGGUAUGAUAUCUUCACUGCUCUGAAUGCGCCCUGCUAGAUCAAUCUUAAGACACUGAAGAUAGUGUCUUUAGCUAAUACAGACGAAAUUGGUUAAGAAUAUUGUAUGCUUAGGCUUAAAGAUCCGACUAGAAGUGACAAUAUGUACCUUCUGUACAGGCAUAGGAACAUUUGCUGCAAUAUCUUCUUCAAGUGAACGAUUGAAAAGGCCACAAUAUGUUUGUCUCACCGCGAUCAGAUGAUUAGGAGAUGAUCCACAAGCUAUCUCUACUAUCACUUGCAAUUGGGUGAAAUAGUCCCAAAUCCUCCAGGUCAACAACACUUAGGGUUUUCGAAAGGUUGAUCAAUUAGGGCUCUCAAGAGUGAUUUCUCUCCGUACACACUACAAGAAAUUACCCCUAUGACGACGGUUCAAAAACCAUUGCAAUAGGCUUAACAGCCGUCGCCAUAGCUCUAAUGCAACAGUUAAGCAUGUGUCCUAUAUGUGACCAUUGCAAUAGAGCUAUCGUAAUGGUUGAUGUCUCCAAGUCAAGAACACUUGGGGUUUUCAAAAGGUUGAUCAAUUAGGGCUCUCAAGAGUGAUUUCUCUCCGUACACACUACAAAAAAUUAUUCCAAUGGCGACGGUUCAAAAACCGUUGCAAUAGGUUUAACUACCAUCGCCAUAGCUCUAAUGCAAAGGUUAAGCAUGCGUCCUAUAUGUGACCGUUGCAAUAGAGCUAUCGCAAUGGUUGAUGUCUCCAAGUCAAGAACACUUAGUGUUUUCAAAAGGUUGAUCAAUUAGGGCUCUCAAGAGUGAUUUCUCUCCGUACACACUACAAAAAAUUAUUCCUAUGGCGACGGUUCAAAAAUCGUGCAAUAGGUUUAACUGCCAUCGCCAUAGCUCUAAUGCAACGGUUAAGAAUGCGUCCUAUAUGUGAGCGUUGCAAUAGAACUAUUGCAAUGGUUGAUGUGACGGUUGGUAGAAACCGUCGCCAUAGAACAACCCAUAGCAACAAUUAUUUUUUCUUCUAUUGGGACGCCUCUUUUCACCUAUAGCAAUGGUUAUGAACCAUUGCAAUAGAUUCUACUGCAACGAUGUUAAACCGUUGCAAUAGAAGCUAUUGCGACGGUUUUAUAGCUCUAUUGCAACAAUUUUUCCUAUCUAUUGCAACUAUUUUUAAAGCCUAUUGCAACGGUUUUGUUGGAUUUUUGUAACACUUUUGGACUACCUAUUGCAACGACUUUAUUGGCUUUUUGCAAUGAUUUGUGACUAUACAUUGCAAUAAUUUUUAAUACUAUCACAACGAUUUAUUAAUCUAUUGCAACGAUUGUUGCCACGUGUUGUAACUAGUUCAAAUAUCAAUUGCAACAAUUUAUAUAAAAUAGCCACCCGUAUUGUAAAUUAGUAUUUACAUACAUAAUAAAUUAUAAUAAACAAUUAUAUACACAUCACAAAAUAAAAGAUAAGAAAAUUGCUCUUAAGUUAAUGAACAUUCCUUGUGCUGAGUAUGAUAAGAAAAUUGUCAUUAUCCAACUGUUUUGUCCGUAUGGCUUCAAGAAGGAUAGUGGCUUCUGCAUUUGUCGUAUCAGGAUCUACCAGUUCCUUAUCAUAUCUAUAGGACCCGACUACACCGAUUAGAAUCUGCCAAUCAUCCACAUAACAUAUCAUUUGAUUGAAGUCACUAUAAUCCAACUCAAUAUGGAGAAGCGUUUAUCAAUUAUCAGUUUAUCACAAAGAGUGCUAAUUUAACUUUAAUGGAUCCAUUAUAGUUAAAUUUAAAUCAGACAUCAUCAAGGUAUGAUAUCUUCACUGCUCUGAAUGCGCCCUGCUAGAUCAAUCUUAAGACACUGAAGAUAGUGUCUUUAGCUAAUACAGACGAAAUUGGUUAAGAAUAUUGUAUGCUUAGGCUUAAAGAUCCGACUAGAAGUGAC
Molecule: long non-coding RNA, 2027 nt
Filed under: Capsicum annuum
Lineage: Eukaryota; Viridiplantae; Streptophyta; Magnoliopsida; Solanales; Solanaceae
Description: long non-coding RNA (CANN_LNC016965)
Source: RNAcentral